CUCAUAUGUUUCUGUAAAGACUUUGGCACUGGAAAUAGCAUACUUUAUGGGUGAAUUAUAAUCCAUAUCAAACAAAAAGGCUAUCCAAAGGAAAAAUAUGAAAAGACGACACUUUCAGAAAUCACGCUUCCUAUAAUAACAUUUCCAAGCAAAAUCAUGGUAAAUAUCUCAGGAGUUUGCUUGUAGAAAAAGGUAAAUGGAAGAGGAAAAUUGUACUUGGUAAAGCAUAAGAAAAGAAGAUUGAAUUGACCAAGAAACAAAAUUGCAUGGAACAAUUGAAAGAAUGGUGUCCAGUUUAACAAAUUUCAGAUAUCUCAGGAGGUAUUCUGUUCAGCUGGCUAAUCUUCUACCCAACUGCUCAAGAAAUCAAUAAUACACAGCAUACCUUAACUUCAGUAUAGAGUUUCUUCUCCCAAAGAU
This 420-nucleotide unclassified non-coding RNA is filed under the name Hevea brasiliensis (rubber tree). Lineage: Eukaryota; Viridiplantae; Streptophyta; Magnoliopsida; Malpighiales; Euphorbiaceae. The record is from RNAcentral.